Molecule: ribosomal RNA, 458 nt
Filed under: uncultured bacterium
Lineage: Bacteria
Description: partial 16S ribosomal RNA
Rfam family: Bacterial small subunit ribosomal RNA
Source: RNAcentral
GAUCAACGCUGGCGGCGUGCAUGAGACAUGCAAGUCGAACGAAGGAUCGGGCUUGCUCGAUCCUUAGUGGCGGACGGCUGAGUAACGCGUAGGUGACCUACCCCGAAGUGGGGAAUAACUGCCCGAAAGGGUGGCUAAUGCCGCAUGUGGUCGCACGUUCAUUCGUGCGAGUAAAGCCGCAAGGCGCUUCGGGAGGGGCCUGCGUCCGAUUAGCUCGUUGGUGGGGUAAUGGCUUACCAAGGCGACGAUCGGUAGGUGGUCUGAGAGGACGAUCACCCAGACUGGGACUGAGACACGGCCCAGACUCCUACGGGAGGCAGCAGUCGGGAAUUUUGCUCAAUGGGGGAAACCCUGAAGCAGCAACGCCGCGUGAGGGAUGAAGGCCUUCGGGUUGUAAACCUCUUUUGUCAGGGACGAUGAUGACGGUACCUGGCGAAUAAGCCACGGCUAACUACGUG